Molecule: long non-coding RNA, 2222 nt
Organism: Zonotrichia leucophrys gambelii
Lineage: Eukaryota; Metazoa; Chordata; Aves; Passeriformes; Passerellidae
Exons: 3
Source: RefSeq, a predicted model, not a curated record
UGGGACUAGAAAUAUAGAGAUUAUUUUAGUAUACAUAAUAAUAGAUAAUAAAAACUAACAUUAUAUAUGUGAAAUAUAUGUUAAAAACCUAUGAAGUAUUGUAUAUGGCCCACAUAGGGUCAGGGAUAAUUGCAGGUAACUCCUUCUUAUUAAUGGAAAAGCUCCAGUCUUAAACUGAGCCAUGCUGUAGUGUUUAAUAGAAAUAUUAUCUGUGAUAUUCAUUUCUGUAGUAAGUUUUAACACAAUUUUAAAGCCAGAUUCUAGCUAACAAAUGCCACAGAUGUUUUCACAAUAAUUUCAGCAUAAAUGGCAUUUCUAUGGCAUUUUAUUGUCCCAAUUACCCUUCUUUUAGGUUGCACAAAACCUUCCACAAAAAAACCCCCAACUUUUGACAAGGAUGGUGUUUACUGAGCAUUGCUCCUUACUUGAAAAGAUCAUUUUGCCUAUUAAUUGAAAAAAAUUCUUCUGUUGGUUAAGGUAUGCUUACUAGAUCAAUUUAUUUUCAUUAUUUGUUUGGGGUUUUUUUAUAUUCCAAACUGGUGAAUUUUUGUGUGAUUCUGAUUCGUGUGGACAAACCAAAUCUGUGACUGACAGGGAACUUUAAAAAGAUUCCUGCAGAAAUGACAAAAUAAUCAAUGGUUGAAUUGGCAUUUACAUUUACAUAUAAUUAUUCAGUGAUGAAUUAAUUUUAGUGGUGUUUAGUGUUUUUUAAUUGCAACUAUGGCAGAUCUGCUUUUCUGAUAAUAGAAAUAUAUUGACUGGUGCAAAAUGGCAUUAAUUAGAGAAAUCUGAAACAUUUCAGAUUCAGAUGUGGGUCAGAGAUGUGCUGCUCAUUGUUGUAUCAAAAUUGCUAUAGGUGCUGAAUUUCCAGAGUCUCUUUUCCAUCUGCUCCUGGUGUUGACUUCUGUUCACUAAAGUUAUAAAGAAAAUUCUUGUGCAUUCUGGGUAUGAAUAAUACAUAAAAAAUCAUUAUUAGUACACUUACUCUUUACUACCAGAAAUCCACUUUUUUGGGUUUUUUUCCACAGCAGGUUGCUGGGCAGGAUAUUUUGAGUCAUUACUUUAUUUCCCUUCAUCCAAGACCUUUGCAGUAAGGAGCUGCAAAUAAAUCUGGAGCUGGGAGAAAAACACCCUUCUACGAGAUCCCUGCUCCAACAGAACCACAUCUGUCACUCCAGGAUUGCAGCCACCCUUCCAUAGGAGUGCCAGCACCACCCUGACCUCCAGGGUGCCAGGGGGAACUACCUGCCUCUGCAAUGCUGCUGUUGAGCUCAGGGAACAGUAUGAAAAUUGCUUUAUUGGUUUAUUAUGUUUAUUGCAUGAUAACCUCUGAGGCAGUGAACAUCAUUUGGAAUAUAAAUUCAGUUUUGUUUGUUUGUCCUAGCCUGGGCUGCUACGUCUGGGUCCUCCUCAACAAUCACACCCAGCCCUUGGGGGUAAGAGCAGAGAGUGGUUUCUUCCACCUUUGUAUGCCUUUGUAAAGAAGAUCUCCAGGUGCACCAGGGGAGAUGGAGCACGAUGCAACAUGGAGAUCGUUUUUCCCUAAGAGCCCCAAGGAUGUACAGUGCACAUUGCAGAUGUGGAUGGGAUUUGUACAGCUUGGAGCAGAGAUCCUCCUGUUACCUGGAGAUGCUGCAGUGGGGGAAGGAGAGGACAUGGUGGGAGCACUGGUCAGCAAAUUAAUGAUUUACAAGGACACUGUCACUGUUCUGUUAUGCACUCAUCUCUCAUCCGUGGAAACAAAGCUGGCUGAGCACAGCUGGAGCUUGGAAGAGAAAAUGGAAGAGGGCCACCAGAAACUGAGAAAGGAGCUUCAGGAAGGGAUUUACCACUUCAGGAAGGGAUUUAUCACAUCUCAGCAGAACCAACAAGCCUCUGCAUUAGGAGCAGCUGUCCCCCAGCCAGGCAGAGAGGAUGCACUGCACAAGGGACCUCAGGAACACAUUUACAGGAGGAGAGCAGCUGUACCUUGGCCAGGGUUAGAGGGACAGCACUUUUGGGGUUGCAGCUGCACAGACAGAAGCCAUCAGAGAGCUGAUGCCCUGCCUGGUCUCUCAGAUGAGCCCUCUGCUGUGGGACUGCUGAGAGCUGAAGAACAGCAGGAACCAAUCCCCACAGCAGCCCUGCACCACCAACAAUUCCUCAUCAUAACUAAAACUGGCUGUAGAACAGCUCAACAAAGAUAAAGUGCUUUGUUUUCCUUUCUCCCCCUUAAUUAAACC